Molecule: ribosomal RNA, 523 nt
Filed under: uncultured bacterium
Lineage: Bacteria
Description: bacterial SSU rRNA
Rfam family: Bacterial small subunit ribosomal RNA
Source: RNAcentral
AGAGUUUGAUCAUGGCUCAGAUUGAACGCUGGCGGCAUGCCUUACACAUGCAAGUCGAACGGCAGCACGGGUGCUUGCACCUGGUGGCGAGUGGCGAACGGGUGAGUAAUAUAUCGGAACGUACCUUAUAGUGGGGGAUAACGCAGCGAAAGUUGCGCUAAUACCGCAUACGCCCUUAGGGGGAAAGCGGGGGAUCGUAAGACCUCGCGCUAUUAGAGCGGCCGAUAUCUGAUUAGCUAGUUGGUGAGGUAAAGGCUCACCAAGGCGACGAUCAGUAGCUGGUCUGAGAGGACGAUCAGCCACACUGGGACUGAGACACGGCCCAGACUCCUACGGGAGGCAGCAGUGGGGAAUUUUGGACAAUGGGGGCAACCCUGAUCCAGCAAUGCCGCGUGCAGGACGAAGGCCUUCGGGUUGUAAACUGCUUUUGUACAGAACGAAAAGCCUUGGGUUAAUACCCUGAGGUCAUGACGGUACUGUAAGAAUAAGCACCGGCUAACUACGUGCCAGCAGCCGCGGUAAU